UGGGGAAUAUUGGACAAUGGGCGAAAGCCUGAUCCAGCCAUGCCGCGUGUGUGAAGAAGGUCUUCGGAUUGUAAAGCACUUUAAGUUGGGAGGAAGAGCAGUUACCUAAUACGUGAUUGUUUUGACGUUACCGACAGAAUAAGCACCGGCUAACUACGUGCCAGCAGCCGCGGUAAUACAGAGGGUGCAAGCGUUAAUCGGAAUUACUGGGCGUAAAGCGCGCGUAGGUGGUUUGUUAAGUAGAAUGUGAAAUCCCCGGGCUCAACCUGGGAACUGCAUCCAAAACUGGCAUGCUAGAGUAUGGUAGAGAGUAGUGGAAUUUCCUGUGUAGCGGUGAAAUGCGUAGAUAUAGGAAGGAACACCAGUGGCGAAGGCGACUACCUGGACUGAUAAUGACACUGAGGUGCGAAAGCGUGAGGAGCAAACA
RNAcentral lists this ribosomal RNA (427 nucleotides) under uncultured bacterium. Its description in RNAcentral is "bacterial SSU rRNA". It matches the Rfam family "Bacterial small subunit ribosomal RNA", at positions 355 to 774 of the family's 1533-position model. The record is from RNAcentral.